Molecule: ribosomal RNA, 254 nt
Filed under: uncultured bacterium
Lineage: Bacteria
Description: partial 16S ribosomal RNA
Rfam family: Bacterial small subunit ribosomal RNA
Source: RNAcentral
UACGGGGGGAGCAAGCGUUGUUCGGAUUUACUGGGCGUAAAGGGCGCGUAGGCGGCCAGCACGAGUCAGUUGUGAAAUCUCCGGGCUUAACUCGGAAAGGUCAACUGAUACUGUGCGGCUAGAGUGCAGAAGGGGCAACUGGAAUUCUCGGUGCAGCGGUGAAAUGCGUAGAUAUCGAGAGGAACACCUGCGGCGAAGGCGGGUUGCUGGGCUGACACUGACGCUGAUGCGCGAAAGCCAGGGGAGCGAACGGG